GACGAGCGCUGGCGGCGUGCUUAACACAUGCAAGUCGAACGGAAAGGCCCUGCUUUUGUGGGGUGCUCGAGUGGCGAACGGGUGAGUAACACGUGAGUAACCUGCCCUUGACUUUGGGAUAACUUCAGGAAACUGGGGCUAAUACCGGAUAGGAGCUCCUGCUGCAUGGUGGGGGUUGGAAAGUUUCGGCGGUUGGGGAUGGACUCGCGGCUUAUCAGCUUGUUGGUGGGGUAGUGGCUUACCAAGGCUUUGACGGGUAGCCGGCCUGAGAGGGUGACCGGCCACAUUGGGACUGAGAUACGGCCCAGACUCCUACGGGAGGCAGCAGUGGGGAAUAUUGCACAAUGGGCGGAAGUCUGAUGCAGCAACGCCGCGUGCGGGAUGACGGCCUUCGGGUUGUAAACCGCUUUCGCCUGUGACGAAGCGUGAGUGACGGUAAUGGGUAAAGAAGCACCGGCUAACUACGUG
Molecule: ribosomal RNA, 468 nt
Filed under: uncultured bacterium
Lineage: Bacteria
Description: partial 16S ribosomal RNA
Rfam family: Bacterial small subunit ribosomal RNA
Source: RNAcentral